RNAcentral lists this ribosomal RNA (495 nucleotides) under uncultured bacterium. RNAcentral's name for it is "partial 16S ribosomal RNA". It matches the Rfam family "Bacterial small subunit ribosomal RNA", at positions 28 to 507 of the family's 1533-position model. The record is from RNAcentral.
GACGAACGCUGGCGGCGUGCCUAAUACAUGCAAGUAGAACGCUGACGGAGGAGCUUGCUUCUCUUGAUGAGUUGCGAACGGGUGCGUAACGCGUAGGUAACCUGCCUGGUAUCGGGGGAUAACUAUUGGAAACGAUAGCUAAUACCGCAUAACAGUAGAUGUUCCAUGACAUUUGCUUAAAAUGUGCAAUUGCAUCACUAUCAGAUGGACCUGCCUUGUUUUAGCUAGUUGGUGGGGUAACGGCUCACCAAGGCGAAGAUACAUAGCCGACCUGAGAGGGUGAUCGGCCAAACUGGGAAUGAGACACGGCCCAGACUCCUACGGGAGGGAGCAGGAGGGAAUCUUCGGCAAUGGACGGAAGUCUGACCGAGCAACGCCGCGUGAGUGAAGAAGGUUUUCGGAUCGGAAAGCUCUGUUGUAAGAGAAGAACGAGUGUGAGAGUGGAAAGUUCACACUGUGACGGUAUCUUACCAGAAAGGGACGGCUAACUACGUG